AGGUAAGCUACUAAGAGCGAAUGGUGGAUGCCUUGACUGGUAAAGGCGAUGAAGGACGUACUAGACUGCGAUAAGCUACGGGGAGCUGUCAAGAAGCUUUGAUCCGUAGAUUUCCGAAUGGGGCAACCCAAUGUAUAGAGAUAUACAUUACCUAUAUAGGAGCGAACGAGGGGAAUUGAAACAUCUUAGUACCCUCAGGAAAAGAAAUCAAUAGAGAUUGCGUCAGUAGCGGCGAGCGAAAGCGCAAGAGGGCAAACCCAGUGCUUGCACUGGGGGUUGUAGGACUGCAAUAUGCAAGAGGUAAGUUUAGCAGAACAUUCUGGAAAGUAUAACCAUAGAGGGUGAUAGUCCCGUAUGCGAAAAACAAACCUUAGCUAGCAGUAUCCUGAGUAGGGCGGGACACGAGGAAUCCUGUCUGAAUCCGGGUCGACCACGAUCCAACCCUAAAUACUAAUACCAGAUCGAUAGUGCACAAGUACCGUGAGGGAAAGGUGAAAAGAACUGAGGUGAUCAGAGUGAAAUAGAACCUGAAACCAUUUGCUUACAAUCAUUCAGAGCCCUAUGUAGCAAUACAGGGUGAUGGACUGCCUUUUGCAUAAUGAGCCUGCGAGUUGUGGUGUCUGGCAAGGUUAAGCAAACGCGAAGCCGUAGCGAAAGCGAGUCUGAAUAGGGCGCUUAGUCAGAUGCUGCAGACCCGAAACGAAGUGAUCUAUCCAUGAGCAAGUUGAAGCUAGUGUAAGAACUAGUGGAGGACUGAACCCAUAGGCGUUGAAAAGCCCCGGGAUGACUUGUGGAUAGGGGUGAAAGGCCAAUCAAACUUCGUGAUAGCUGGUUCUCUCCGAAAUAUAUUUAGGUAUAGCGUUGUGUCGUAAUAUAAGGGGGUAGAGCACUGAAUGGGCUAGGGCAUACACCAAUGUACCAAACCCUAUCAAACUCCGAAUACCUUAUAUGUAAUCACAGCAGUCAGGCGGCGAGUGAUAAAAUCCGUCGUCAAGAGGGAAACAACCCAGACUACCAGCUAAGGUCCCUAAGUCUUACUUAAGUGGAAAACGAUGUGAAGUUACUUAAACAACCAGGAGGUUGGCUUAGAAGCAGCCAUCCUUUAAAGAAAGCGUAAUAGCUCACUGGUCUAGUGAUUUUGCGCGGAAAAUAUAACGGGGCUAAAGU
RNAcentral lists this ribosomal RNA (1167 nucleotides) under Campylobacter jejuni. RNAcentral describes it as "partial 23S ribosomal RNA". It matches the Rfam family "Bacterial large subunit ribosomal RNA", at positions 1 to 1188 of the family's 2925-position model. The record is from RNAcentral. Lineage: Bacteria; Pseudomonadati; Campylobacterota; Epsilonproteobacteria; Campylobacterales; Campylobacteraceae.